RNAcentral lists this ribosomal RNA (466 nucleotides) under uncultured bacterium. Its description in RNAcentral is "partial 16S ribosomal RNA". It matches the Rfam family "Bacterial small subunit ribosomal RNA", at positions 339 to 795 of the family's 1533-position model. The record is from RNAcentral.
CUACGGGGUGCUGCAGUGGGGAAUAUUGGACAAUGGGGGAAACCCUGAUCCAGCAAUGCCGCGUGUGUGAAGAAGGCCUGCGGGUUGUAAAGCACUUUCGGUUGGGAGGACUGCUUCUAGCACUAAUAUUGUUGGAAGUUGACGUUACCUUCAGAAGAAGCACCGGCUAACUCCGUGCCAGCAGCCGCGGUAAUACGGGAGGGUGCAAGCGUUAAUCGGAAUUACUGGGCGUAAAGCGCGCGUAGGCGGCUAGAUCAGUCGGGUGUGAAAGCCCCGGGCUUAACCUGGGAACUGCAUCCGAUACUGUCUAGCUUGAGUACAGGAGAGGAGAGUGGAAUUUCACAUGUAGCGGUGAAAUGCGUAGAUAUGUGGAGGAACACCAAUGGCGAAGGCAGCUCUCUGGCCUGAUACUGACGCUGAGGUGCGAAAGCGUGGGGAGCAAACAGGAUUAGAUACCCGAGUAGUC